GUCGCUUAGCUCAGUUGGUAGAGCGCCACCCUUUUAAGGAGGGGGCCGUUGGUUCGAAUCCAACACGGGACACCA
This 75-nucleotide transfer RNA is filed under the name Campylobacter jejuni. RNAcentral describes it as "tRNA-Lys". It matches the Rfam family "tRNA". From Rfam's summary of the family: Transfer RNA (tRNA) molecules are approximately 80 nucleotides in length. Their secondary structure includes four short double-helical elements and three loops (D, anti-codon, and T loops). The record is from RNAcentral. Lineage: Bacteria; Pseudomonadati; Campylobacterota; Epsilonproteobacteria; Campylobacterales; Campylobacteraceae.